UACGGGGGGGGCAAGCGUUGUUCGGAAUUACUGGGCGUAAAGGGCUCGUAGGCGGCCAACUAAGUCAGACGUGAAAUCCCUCAGCUUAACUGGGGAACUGCGUCUGAUACUGGAUGGCUUGAGUGUAGGAGAGGAAUGCGGAAUUCCAGGUGUAGCGGUGAAAUGCGUAGAUAUCUGGAGGAACACCGGUGGCGAAGGCGGCAUUCUGGACUACAACUGACACUGAGGAACGAAAGCCAGGGGAGCAAACGGG
Molecule: ribosomal RNA, 253 nt
Filed under: uncultured bacterium
Lineage: Bacteria
Description: partial 16S ribosomal RNA
Rfam family: Bacterial small subunit ribosomal RNA
Source: RNAcentral